Molecule: long non-coding RNA, 658 nt
Filed under: Megachile rotundata (alfalfa leafcutting bee)
Lineage: Eukaryota; Metazoa; Arthropoda; Insecta; Hymenoptera; Megachilidae
Description: uncharacterized LOC105662979, transcript variant X2
Source: RNAcentral
CCAGACCUUGCUAGCGGACGUGUUUCGGGUGCACUAGCUAAACGUUACAGGCACAGGCCAGUCAUAGGCUGUGCAAUUUUUAGUCGCCGUGCAAUUUUUCCUGCCAAACUAGAGCGGUGCAUGCUAAAGAUAGGUCGCGGUGCUCAGGGAUCGUUGCGUAUAGAUAGAACCGGCGCGGGGGACAAGGGAGACCUUGGCCUUAGAAGUUUAUAUAACGAGGAAGCGCGCGAACCACCAGCUCAGUCGCGACGCUCCGUUUCGAUCCACCGAUCCGAGCCGCGCUCUCCAAUUCUGAAGAUAAUAAAAAAAGAUCGGCGAAAUUUUACGUCGGUGAAGUUUUCGAGAGGUUACUACGCGUGCAAAGCGAAGAAAGGUAUCCGCGUGAUUGGGGUAGGAAGUUCGUCGAAACGAAAGGAACGUGGCCAUGGUGAACGGUGACAAGUGGCUUUUCCGGCGUGCGAAGUAAAAACACGCUCUACAUGCUGAGGAACUGGAGCAGUGGAAGUUGCGCGACCAAACGAGUAAAUCAGGAGGUGUACGAUGGAAUCUGGUCUGCUCUGAAUAGAAAAAAUAAUAACUCAGCUUCCAGGCAGUCCGACGAUAGACCGGCAUCGAAGACCGAUAGACGUUUUCAGCUGACGUAGCCAGUUUAGAAUUG